Tetranychus urticae (two-spotted spider mite) is the source of this 3071-nucleotide non-coding RNA. NCBI's taxonomy places the organism in Eukaryota, Metazoa, Arthropoda, Arachnida, Trombidiformes, Tetranychidae. The record is from RefSeq and is a predicted model, not a curated record.
UAACUCUUUACAUUUUUGCAUUAUUUUUGCAUCUUGUGUUAUUUAACGAAUGGUUUCUAAAUUGUUUGGUUUAAUAGGUUUACUUUUGACCAUGAAUGCGAAAUACCAUUUGCUUGAUUGAUUUAUCCAUUAACUUGACCUUUUACAAUUGUGAUUUUCAUGGUAUCGUGGAUCAAAUUUGAAAUGCAAUGGGCAUAUUCAUUUUUAUUGGUUAAGCACCAUUUAGGUUAUUAAAAGGUUUAAACACAUUUUGCCUCAUGGUUUGGAGAAAUUUGAUUCGGCGAAUUAAGAGAAAAAAAAUUGUGAACUAAAUCUAAAUUAACGGGUUUAUCUUUGCCUGAAAAAGUGUUUUGAAAAGAGAGUGUGUUUAUACCUGAAAACGUUUGCAACUGUACAUUCUUAAUCAGGCUCAUCAUUAUGUUAUUAAGGACAAUUUAACUACUCUUUAAUCGUCAAUGAUUUAAGUCAGACAGACACAUUUUCAUGUUCGCAGUUUCCUAUUCAAUCAGCUCUUUUUGGCAAUCAAAUCAACUAUACCCACACUCGAAAUAACAUAACAAAAAAGCAGAUGAAAAAGAUCAAUGCAAAAAGAAGUCCAUCAUUAUUUUAAUCGACAUUAUUUGAUUGUCUCUCAUUUCAAUCAAGUCUACUUUUUGUUUCACUAUUGAAUGGAAUGGAAGAAAGAAUUUUUAUUCAGAUAGAAGUCGAUAAACACAAAUCAGUUGCAACCACAACAACAUUUGGAAUCGAGUCCUAAAUUGGUUAUUUUUUGCUUCUUCUCUUCCGGAUUAAGAAAUUGAACUACAAUCUAAUUACAAAAGGACAAAUAUUACAAUUCUUUAUUCGAGUUGGCUUUGAUUUUAGAUGGUGAUUUAAGUAAAUAGCAACAAUGUAAACUGUUACACUUGACAACCUAACCCAAUGUAACCUAAAAAAGCAAGGAAGAACCCAAAAGAGAACAAUGGACCAGAAAAGAUACCAAAAACCAAAAAACAAGGAGUAAUUAUUUGAUUUGCACCUUCUUUACCAGUUAUAUCAGCUCAUCAGUUUCAAUGCUGUCUAAAAUAUUUACAAAGAUAUUACUUUUACCAUUGUAAUUUCAUUGAGGUAAAUAUAUCGUUGGACUCCCAGAAACAACCAUGUAAUAAACUGGAUAACCUAUGAAUGACCAGAUUUAUGAAAUUUUGGAAACAAUGGCGAGCAUAAUCAAGUCUUGUAGCUCAUCAUUUUGGAUCAACUAAAUACAUUAUGAAAAUACAGGCAAGUAAUGACGAUAUCAUAAUAAAUAUAAUACUUUGUUGAUCUAAUUGUUUAGCAAGUGAAUCAUCGAGACACUCAUAGGAAAGGUCCACAUGGUUGGUGACUAAAAUUUAAAAUAGAAUUUAAGAGAAAAUGGUUUUCUCUCCUGUUAACCCUGAAUCCAAGUUAUACAUUGAAAUGAAAACACUUGUUUCUGGUGGUAAAGCUGUAUGCUGCUGUUGCCCUGAUUAGAAGAGAAAGCGUCCACUAGAAAAUGUUGUUUGGAAUGGGCAAAGAACGGAUAAAGGCAUCUUCCUUCAGAAAAAAAAACACCUUGACCUUUCCAAGUAAAGGUUGUUGUCCGACUUUUUACCCAAACACACUCAACCGGCCUACUGACCUGGAGACAGACUCUUGUUUUAUCUUUCAUGUUUCUCUUUCUUUUGCCGUUCCGAUUCAAGUGGCUUAUCAACUACCCCUGGCUUCAUCUGGUUUUCAUCAUGUUUUAAUGCGUCUACAGGGUUAACUGGCCUUACUCUCCCUCUCAUCUUCACUUGCUCUUGAUGGUGUUUCAAAACAAGAAUCUGAACAAGAAAAUCAAGAAAAGAAAGAAAAGAAAGACUCCGUUCUACUAAAUCUGUAACCAUUUGUGGGAAUAUCUUUUAUCUUCAUCUUAUCAAGUUGAAUGGGUCGACGGGAAAAGUGAAGAGAGGAGCAAAACAAUUUUAAAGAUGAAGAUAAAAAUGAACAAGUAAAAGGCACACAGGUUCAUCACCAUGUAACUAAAAUCUCAUUGGAAUGGCAAAAUCUCGUUCUCAUUGUUACUGAUGUUUAUUUUGGAUAUUAAUGUUGCUGAUGAUUCUGGUGAUGACGUUUGCUUUUUUCGUUUGCGUUCUCUAUGAUUCAUUUGGAGGCAUUAAUUGUUCACAAUUGAUUGAGAAAAUUGAUUAUUCAUUUUCUCAUCCAAACGUUGUAUCAAGCUUGGACACAUAGUUCAAUAAUUACCAGCUCUUGGGGUACAAAACUUUCAAUGAGGAAACACUUGACUCUGUUGGAGGAUUCAAUGAUUUUCAUAGGACUUUCCUGGCCAUCAGUUAAUUUGAUUUCAAGUUUGCUUUAAUUGCAUUACUUUCAAGUUUAAUAAGAUUUGAUUUGAGAGUGAAAAGUUAUUGCUAUUAAAUUUGAAGAUAAUGCGGAAAUUUUCAAGGUAAAUCACAAAGUAUUGUUUGAUUUUACUCCAGGCGUGCUUCAAAUUAAGGUUAAUAUUAAACAAAAUAAUUUUGGCUUUAAAUUUGAUUUGAUGCUUUUCUCAUCAUCAAUGAUGCUAGGAUUUGUUUAAUGUGAUGAUGUUUACUUAAUCAAACUUGAAGAAAUAUCAAAUAAUUUAUCUAAUUGGUGAUUGUUUAUAGCUGCAUGAUAACUGUAGAAACAGAUUGAAAUGUUAAAAACAGUCAUUUUGACUGAAGGUCAACUUCCAAUGUUGGGUUAACGUUUUUGUUUUCCAGAUCAACUCAUCUUGAAAUAAUUUGAAACAUCCAAAUUCAUCAAAUGUUCAGGGUAUUUAAAACAGUUUAGUUGAUAUAAUAAAACCAAUAAAUAAAGUAAAAAAUGUUUGCUUUCCAUGAAAAUUUGUCUACAAAUUGCAGUGUCGGUUACCACCUACGUUAGUAUCUCUUUGAACUUGGGUUAAUUCCUAUGUCUUUACCUCACUUUGCUUACCUGUUCAUCAUUACCAUAGGAAUACAAUUUAUGUCCUCUUUACCUUCACAUAGAUCAAAUUGCCUGAAGCUUUUGUAAACCAAAAUCAAUAAAUAAUCAAGGUCAUUUUGUAA